AUAGCCCGGCGAAAGCCGGAUUAAUACCGCAUACGAUCUACGGAUGAAAGCGGGGGACCUUCGGGCCUCGCGCUAUAGGGUUGGCCGAUGGCUGAUUAGCUAGUUGGUGGGGUAAAGGCCUACCAAGGCGACGAUCAGUAGCUGGUCUGAGAGGACGACCAGCCACACUGGGACUGAGACACGGCCCAGACUCCUACGGGAGGCAGCAGUGGGGAAUUUUGGACAAUGGGCGAAAGCCUGAUCCAGCAAUGCCGCGUGUGUGAAGAAGGCCUUCGGGUUGUAAAGCACUUUUGUCCGGAAAGAAAUCCUUGGCUCUAAUACAGUCGGGGGAUGACGGUACCGGAAGAAUAAGCACCGGCUAACUACGUGCCAGCAGCCGCGGUAAUACGUAGGGUGCAAGCGUUAAUCGGAAUUACUGGGCGUAAAGCGUGCGCAGGCGGUUUGCUAAGACCGAUGUGAAAUCCCCGGGCUCAACCUGGGAACUGCAUUGGUGACUGGCAGGCUAGAGUAUGGCAGAGGGGGGUAGAAUUCCACGUGUAGCAGUGAAAUGCGUAGAGAUGUGGAGGAAUACCGAAGGCGAAGGCAGCCCCCUGGGCCAAUACUGACGCUCAUGCACGAUAGCGUGGGAGCCAAACAGGAUUAGAUACCCCGGUAGUCCAAGCGCUAAACGAUGUCAACUAGGUGGUGGGGAUUCAUUUUCUUAGUAACGUAGCUAACGCGUGAAGUUGACCGCCUGGGGAGUACGGUCGCAAGACUAAAACUCAUAGGAUUUGACGGGUACCCGCACAAGCUGUGCAUGAUGUGCAAUAAUUCGAUGCGACGCGCAAAUACCUUACCCACCCUU
RNAcentral lists this ribosomal RNA (844 nucleotides) under Burkholderia cenocepacia. Its description in RNAcentral is "bacterial SSU rRNA". It matches the Rfam family "Bacterial small subunit ribosomal RNA", at positions 143 to 982 of the family's 1533-position model. The record is from RNAcentral. Lineage: Bacteria; Pseudomonadati; Pseudomonadota; Betaproteobacteria; Burkholderiales; Burkholderiaceae.